GAUGAACGCUGGCGGCGUGCCUAAUACAUGCAAGUCGAACGAAGAUGUAGCAAUACGUCUUAGUGGCGAACGGGUGAGUAACGCGUUGGUGACCUACCCCAAAGUCUGGGAUAACCCCGCGAAAGCGGGGCUAAUACCGGAUGUGGUCAUCGGGAUUAGAAUCCGAUGUCUAAAGGAGCAAUUCGCUUUGGGAGGGGCCUGCGUCCCAUCAGCUAGUUGGUAGGGUAAUGGCCUACCAAGGCGAUGACGGGUAGGGGACCUGAGAGGGUGACCCCCCACACUGGAACUGAAACACGGUCCAGACACCUACGGGUGGCAGCAGUAGGGAAUAUUGCUUAAUGGGCGAAAGCCUGAAGCAGCAACGCCGCGUGUGCGAUGAAGGUCUUCGGAUUGUAAAGCACUUUUAGAGGGGAUGAGGAAGGACAGUACCCUCUGAAUAAGCCUCGGCUAACUACGUGCCAGCAGCCGCGGUAAAACGUAGGAGGCGAGCGUUAUCCGGAUUUACUGGGCGUAAAGCGCGUGUAGGCGGCAUGAUAAGUUGGAUGUGAAAGCUCCUGGCUAAACUGGGAGAGGACGUUCAAUACUGUCAAGCUUGAGGAUGGGAGAGGGAGGUGGAACUCCGGGUGUAGUGGUGAAAUGCGUAGAUAUCCGGAGGAACACCAGUGGCGAAGGCGGCCUCCUGGCCCAUUUCUGACGCUCAGACGCGAAAGCUAGGGUAGCAAACGGGAUUAGAGACCCCGGUAGUCCUAGCUGUAAACUAUGUAGACUUGGCGUUGGUGGGGUAAAAUCCAUCAGUGCCGCAGCAAACGCGAUAAGUCUACCGCCUGGGGACUACGGCCGCAAGGUUAAAACUCAAAGGAAUUGACGGGGCCCCGCACAAGCAGCGGAGCGUGUGGUUUAAUUCGAUGCUACACGAAGAACCUUACCAGGGUUUGACAUACAAGUGGUAGAGAGGCGAAAGCGGAUCGACCCUUCGGGGAGCUUGUACAGGUGCUGCAUGGCUGUCGUCAGCUCGUGUCGUGAGAUGUUCGGUUAAGUCCGCUAACGAGCGCAACCCUCGCUGUGUGUUACAAGUGUCACACGGAACUGCCGGUCAUAAACCGGAGGAAGGUGGGGAUGACGUCAAGUCAGCAUGGCCUUUAUAUCCUGGGCUACACACACGCUACAAUGGGAAGGGACAAUAGGUUGCGAAACCGCGAGGUGGAGCCAAUCCAGCAAAACUUCCCUCAGUUCAGAUUGCAGGCUGCAACUCGCCUGCAUGAAGUUGGAGUUGCUAGUAAACGCAGGUCAGCCAUACUGCGUUGAAUACGUUCCCGGGGCUU
This 1322-nucleotide ribosomal RNA is filed under the name uncultured Chloroflexota bacterium. RNAcentral describes it as "bacterial SSU rRNA". It matches the Rfam family "Bacterial small subunit ribosomal RNA", at positions 28 to 1382 of the family's 1533-position model. The record is from RNAcentral. Lineage: Bacteria; Bacillati; Chloroflexota.